RNAcentral lists this ribosomal RNA (309 nucleotides) under uncultured archaeon. Its description in RNAcentral is "bacterial SSU rRNA". It matches the Rfam family "Archaeal small subunit ribosomal RNA", at positions 526 to 834 of the family's 1478-position model. The record is from RNAcentral.
CGGCCGCGUUGGUCCGUCGGGAAAUCCAUCGGCUCAACCGAUGGGCGUCCGGCGGAUACCACGCGGCUUGGGACCGGAAGACUCGAGGGGUACGUCCGGGGUAGGAGUGAAAUCCCGUAAUCCUGGACGGACCGCCGAUGGCGAAAGCACCUCGAGAGGACGGAUCCGACGGUGAGGGACGAAAGCUGGGGUCUCGAACCGGAUUAGAUACCCGGGUAGUCCCAGCCGUAAACGAUGUUCGUUAGGUGCGCCGCCGACUACGCGUCGGCGGUGUGCCGCAGGGAAGCCGUUAAACGAACCGCCUGGGAA